UACGAAGGGGGCUAGCGUUGCUCGGAAUGACUGGGCGUAAAGGGCGCGUAGGCGGUUCAUACAGUCAGAUGUGAAAUUCCUGGGCUCAACCUGGGGGCUGCAUUUGAUACGUGUGGACUAGAGUGGGGAAGAGGGUCGUGGAAUUCCCAGUGUAGAGGUGAAAUUCGUAGAUAUUGGGAAGAACACCGGUGGCGAAGGCGGCGACCUGGUCCUUGACUGACGCUGAUGCACGAAAGCUAGGGGAGCAAACAGG
RNAcentral lists this ribosomal RNA (253 nucleotides) under uncultured bacterium. RNAcentral's name for it is "partial 16S ribosomal RNA". It matches the Rfam family "Bacterial small subunit ribosomal RNA", at positions 524 to 776 of the family's 1533-position model. The record is from RNAcentral.